RNAcentral lists this ribosomal RNA (484 nucleotides) under uncultured bacterium. Its description in RNAcentral is "partial 16S ribosomal RNA". It matches the Rfam family "Bacterial small subunit ribosomal RNA", at positions 28 to 507 of the family's 1533-position model. The record is from RNAcentral.
AUUGAACGCUGGCGGCAUGCUUUACACAUGCAAGUCGAACGGCAGCGCGGGCUUCGUCCUGGCGGCGAGUGGCGAACGGGUGAGUAAUGCAUCGGAACGUGCCCAGUAGUGGGGGAUAGCCCGGCGAAAGCCGGAUUAAUACCGCAUACGACCUGAGGGUGAAAGCGGGGGACCGAAAGGCCUCGCGCUAUUGGAGCGGCCGAUGUCGGAUUAGCUAGUUGGUUGGGUAAAGGCUUACCAAGGCGACGAUCCGUAGCUGGUCUGAGAGGACGACCAGCCACACUGGGACUGAGACACGGCCCAGACUCCUACGGGAGGCAGCAGUGGGGAAUUUUGGACAAUGGGGGCAACCCUGAUCCAGCCAUGCCGCGUGCGGGAAGAAGGCCUUCGGGUUGUAAACCGCUUUUGUUCGGGAAGAAAUCCUCUGGGCUAAUACCCCGGGGGGAUGACGGUACCGGAAGAAUAAGCACCGGCUAACUACGUG